RNAcentral lists this ribosomal RNA (379 nucleotides) under Klebsiella quasipneumoniae subsp. similipneumoniae. Its description in RNAcentral is "bacterial SSU rRNA". It matches the Rfam family "Bacterial small subunit ribosomal RNA", at positions 27 to 404 of the family's 1533-position model. Lineage: Bacteria; Pseudomonadati; Pseudomonadota; Gammaproteobacteria; Enterobacterales; Enterobacteriaceae. The record is from RNAcentral.
GAUUGAACGCUGGCGGCAGGCCUAACACAUGCAAGUCGAGCGGUAGCACAGAGAGCUUGCUCUCGGGUGACGAGCGGCGGACGGGUGAGUAAUGUCUGGGAAACUGCCUGAUGGAGGGGGAUAACUACUGGAAACGGUAGCUAAUACCGCAUAACGUCGCAAGACCAAAGUGGGGGACCUUCGGGCCUCAUGCCAUCAGAUGUGCCCAGAUGGGAUUAGCUAGUAGGUGGGGUAACGGCUCACCUAGGCGACGAUCCCUAGCUGGUCUGAGAGGAUGACCAGCCACACUGGAACUGAGACACGGUCCAGACUCCUACGGGAGGCAGCAGUGGGGAAUAUUGCACAAUGGGCGCAAGCCUGAUGCAGCCAUGCCGCGUGU